This 589-nucleotide ribosomal RNA is filed under the name uncultured bacterium. RNAcentral describes it as "bacterial SSU rRNA". It matches the Rfam family "Bacterial small subunit ribosomal RNA", at positions 338 to 943 of the family's 1533-position model. The record is from RNAcentral.
CCUACGGGAGGCAGCAGUGGGGAAUCUUGCGCAAUGGGCGAAAGCCUGACGCAGCAACGCCGCGUGCGGGAAGAAGGCUUUCGGGCUGUAAACCGCUUUCAGCAGGAACGAAAAUGACGGUACCUGCAGAAGAAGGAGCGGCCAACUAUGUGCCAGCAGCCGCGGUGAUACAUAGGCUUCAAGCGUUGUCCGGAUUUAUUGGGCGUAAAGAGUUCGUAGGCGGUCGAGUAAGUCGGGUGUGAAAAUUCUGGGCUCAACCCAGAGACGCCACCCGAUACUGCUUGACUUGAGUUCGAUAGGGGAGUGGGGAAUUCCUAGUGUAGCGGUGAAAUGCGCAGAUAUUAGGAGGAACACCGGUGGCGAAGGCGCCACUCCGGAUCGAUACUGACGCUGAGGAACGAAAGCAUGGGUAGCAAACAGGAUUAGAUACCCUGGUAGUCCAUGCCGUAAACGGUGGGCACUAGGUGUGGGUUUCUAUUAACGAAAUCCGCGCCGUCGCUAACGCAUUAAGUGCCCCGCCUGGGGAGUACGGUCGCAAGCUAAAACUCAAAGGAAUUGACGGCUGAGAGNGCGAGCGACACGAGGAGAG